This 310-nucleotide ribosomal RNA is filed under the name uncultured microorganism. RNAcentral's name for it is "bacterial SSU rRNA". It matches the Rfam family "Bacterial small subunit ribosomal RNA", at positions 9 to 307 of the family's 1533-position model. The record is from RNAcentral.
GAGUUUGAUCAUGGCUCAGGACGAACGCUGGCGGCGUGCCUAAUACAUGCAAGUCGAGCGGAUCUUCAUUAGCUUGCUUUUGAAGAUCAGCGGCGGACGGGUGAGUAACACGUGGGCAACCUGCCUGUAAGACUGGGAUAACUUCGGGAAACCGGAGCUAAUACCGGAUAAUCCUUUUCCUUCUCAUGAGGAAAAGACUGAAAGACGGUUUCGGCUGUCACUUACAGAUGGGCCCGCGGCGCAUUAGCUAGUUGGUGAGGUAACGGCUCACCAAGGCGACGAUGCGUAGCCGACCUGAGAGGGUGAUCGG